AGAGUUUGAUCAUGGCUCAGAUUGAACGCUGGCGGCAGGCCUAACACAUGCAAGUCGAACGGUAGCACAGAGAGCUUGCUCUCGGGUGACGAGUGGCGGACGGGUGAGUAAUGUCUGGGAAACUGCCUGAUGGAGGGGGAUAACUACUGGAAACGGUAGCUAAUACCGCAUAACGUCGCAAGACCAAAGAGGGGGACCUUCGGGCCUCUUGCCAUCAGAUGUGCCCAGAUGGGAUUAGCUAGUAGGUGGGGUAACGGCUCACCUAGGCGACGAUCCCUAGCUGGUCUGAGAGGAUGACCAGCCACACUGGAACUGAGACACGGUCCAGACUCCUACGGGAGGCAGCAGUGGGGAAUAUUGCACAAUGGGCGCAAGCCUGAUGCAGCCAUGCCGCGUGUAUGAAGAAGGCCUUCGGGUUGUAAAGUACUUUCAGCGGGGAGGAAGGUGUUGCGGUUAAUAACCGCAGCAAUUGACGUUACCCGCAGAAGAAGCACCGGCUAACUCCGUGCCAGCAGCCGCGGUAAUACGGAGGGUGCAAGCGUUAAUCGGAAUUACUGGGCGUAAAGCGCACGCAGGCGGUCUGUCAAGUCGGAUGUGAAAUCCCCGGGCUCAACCUGGGAACUGCAUUCGAAACUGGCAGGCUAGAGUCUUGUAGAGGGGGGUAGAAUUCCAGGUGUAGCGGUGAAAUGCGUAGAGAUCUGGAGGAAUACCGGUGGCGAAGGCGGCCCCCUGGACAAAGACUGACGCUCAGGUGCGAAAGCGUGGGGAGCAAACAGGAUUAGAUACCCUGGUAGUCCACGCCGUAAACGAUGUCGAUUUGGAGGUUGUGCCCUUGAGGCGUGGCUUCCGGAGCUAACGCGUUAAAUCGACCGCCUGGGGAGUACGGCCGCAAGGUUAAAACUCAAAUGAAUUGACGGGGGCCCGCACAAGCGGUGGAGCAUGUGGUUUAAUUCGAUGCAACGCGAAGAACCUUACCUGGUCUUGACAUCCACAGAACUUUCCAGAGAUGGAUUGGUGCCUUCGGGAACUGUGAGACAGGUGCUGCAUGGCUGUCGUCAGCUCGUGUUGUGAAAUGUUGGGUUAAGUCCCGCAACGAGCGCAACCCUUAUCCUUUGUUGCCAGCGGUUAGGCCGGGAACUCAAAGGAGACUGCCAGUGAUAAACUGGAGGAAGGUGGGGAUGACGUCAAGUCAUCAUGGCCCUUACGACCAGGGCUACACACGUGCUACAAUGGCGCAUACAAAGAGAAGCGACCUCGCGAGAGCAAGCGGACCUCAUAAAGUGCGUCGUAGUCCGGAUUGGAGUCUGCAACUCGACUCCAUGAAGUCGGAAUCGCUAGUAAUCGUAGAUCAGAAUGCUACGGUGAAUACGUUCCCGGGCCUUGUACACACCGCCCGUCACACCAUGGGAGUGGGUUGCAAAAGAAGUAGGUAGCUUAACCUUCGGGAGGGCGCUUACCACUUUGUGAUUCAUGACUGGGGUGAAGUCGUAACAAGGUAACCGUAGGGGAACCUGCGGUUG
This 1520-nucleotide ribosomal RNA is filed under the name Enterobacter cloacae. RNAcentral's name for it is "bacterial SSU rRNA". It matches the Rfam family "Bacterial small subunit ribosomal RNA". Lineage: Bacteria; Pseudomonadati; Pseudomonadota; Gammaproteobacteria; Enterobacterales; Enterobacteriaceae. The record is from RNAcentral.